CAUUUUUACUUUUUCAUUAGUAUGCCUCACCAAGAAUGAGGAAGGGUACAAUAGAAUUUUGAGGAAGAAUUAAUUGGGAAGAGGAAAAAGAAAUAAAAUAUUAUAUCUUUGAGGAUGUAGAAUUAACAUGGAAGGCAGUAUGGUAUAACCACAUAUACAUAGGCUGAAAAUCGUUCUCAGUUUUAAGUUAGAUUAAAGAGAGCUCUAUAAUUUUUAAAGUGUGAUUCCAUUUUGAUGUGAAUCUAGUUUUUUGUUUUAUCAGUAAAAACUUUACUUUUACAGUAAUGAUAACGUGAUUUAAAGAAAAAUAAAUGUUUUUUAAGUUAGAAUUUUUCCAGUUUGCAUCUUUAUGAUUUCUCAUAGAUCCUUGGGAAACUUUUUCUUUUUCAAAGCAAUCUGAACCUUAUUCAAGUUUAAGAAACAUU
RNAcentral lists this long non-coding RNA (425 nucleotides) under Bos taurus (domestic cattle). RNAcentral's name for it is "long non-coding RNA NONBTAT023482". The record is from RNAcentral. Lineage: Eukaryota; Metazoa; Chordata; Mammalia; Artiodactyla; Bovidae.